GACGAACGCUGGCGGCGUGCCUAAUACAUGCAAGUCGAACGGAAAGGCCCUGAUUUUGUGGCGCGCUUGAGUGGCGAACGGGUGAGUAACACGUGAGUAACCUGUCCUUGACUUUGGGAUAACUUCAGGAAACUGGGGCUAAAACCCGAUAGGAGCUUUUGCUGCACAGUGGGCGAUGGAAAGAUCCGGCGGUGGGGGCAGGACUCGCGGCUUACCAGCUUGUUGGUGGGGUAGUGGCUUACCAAGGCUACGACGGGUAGCCGGCCUGAGAGGGUGACCGGCCACAUUGGGACUGAGAUAGGGACCAGACUCCUACGGGAGGCAACAGUGGGGAAUAUUACGCAAUGGGCGGAAGCCUGAUGCAGCAACGCCGCGUGCGGGAUGACGGCCUUCGGGUUGUAAACCGCUUUCGCCUGUGACGAAGCGUGAGUGACGGUAAUGGAUAAAGAAGCACCGGCUAACUACGUG
RNAcentral lists this ribosomal RNA (468 nucleotides) under uncultured bacterium. RNAcentral describes it as "partial 16S ribosomal RNA". It matches the Rfam family "Bacterial small subunit ribosomal RNA", at positions 28 to 507 of the family's 1533-position model. The record is from RNAcentral.